AUUGAACGCUGGCGGCAUGCUUUACACAUGCAAGUCGAACGGCAGCGCGGGCUUCGGCCUGGCGGCGAGUGGCGAACGGGUGAGUAAUGCACCGGAACGUGCCCAGUAGUGGGGGAUAGCCCGGCGAAAGCCGGAUUAAUACCGCAUACGACCUGAGGGUGAAAGCGGGGGACCGAAAGGCCUCGCGCUAUUGGAGCGGCCGAUGUCGGAUUAGCUAGUUGGUGGGGUAAAGGCUUACCAAGGCGACGAUCCGUAGCUGGUCUGAGAGGACGACCAGCCACACUGGGACUGAGACACGGCCCAGACUCCUACGGGAGGCAGCAGUGGGGAAUUUUGGACAAUGGGGCAACCCUGAUCCAGCCAUGCCGCGUGCGGGAAGAAGGCCUUCGGGUUGUAAACCGCUUUUGUUCGGGAAGAAAUCCUCUGGGCUAAUACCCCGGGGGGAUGACGGUACCGGAAGAAUAAGCACCGGCUAACUACGUG
RNAcentral lists this ribosomal RNA (483 nucleotides) under uncultured bacterium. RNAcentral's name for it is "partial 16S ribosomal RNA". It matches the Rfam family "Bacterial small subunit ribosomal RNA", at positions 28 to 507 of the family's 1533-position model. The record is from RNAcentral.